GUGAUUGCUUUGCAAAAUAGAUUUGAGAGGCAGCGUUUUCUUCUAUUUUAUUCAAUUAAACUUGGUUUCCUUCCCCGAAAGUACUUUCCAAUUCUGCACGUACUGACCCUAUCGAAUUUUUUAAAUAGUCGAAAAAUAAACAAAUAUAGUGAACUCAAUCGUAACAUUUCAUUUUUAAACUUUGUAUGAAAAUAUUUCAAAUUGACGGAAAAAUUAAAAGAUAAUUAUAACAAAUAACAAACUUUACAGUAGCCGACGCAUUGUAUGUCAACUGGAACAACACAUGCUCACGGAGAGAAAUUUGUAUCGUCGCGUUGACGUCAGUGAUUCGUUUCUCAAAUGUCACGAAAAUGAUCCAUUUUUGAUGCGCAUCAUUACUGGGGACGAAAAAUGGGUUGUAUAUAACAAUGUCAAACGCAAAAGAUCAUAGAGCAAAAAAGAUGAACCGCCUCAAAGCAUUUCCAAAAUUUUACCGGAUAACACAACAAUUAUUUCGGAAAUUUACUGUCAUCAGCUGGACAAACUAAAUGAUACACUUCAACAGAAAAGGCCAGAAUUAAUCAACAGAAAAGGUAUAGUGUUCCUCCAAAAUAAUGCGAGAUGUCAUAUAAGUUUGGUCAUUUGCCAAAAGCUUUUACAGCUUGAAUGGGAUACAAUGCCACAUUCACCAUAUUCUCCAGAUCUGGCGCCUUCGGAUUAUUAUUUGUUCCGGUCACUGUAAAAUUUUUUAGACGGUAAAACCUUCACUUCAAAUGAGGAAGUCAAAAAUCACCUCGAUCAGUUUUAUGCCAACAAAGAUCAAAAAUUUUAUGAGCGUGGAAUCAUGCUACUACCAGAAAGAUGGCAAAAGUUAUUGGACCAGAAUGGCCAAUAUAUAAGUUCAUAAAAUAUUUGUCCAUAAUACGAAAAUUGUCUUUCAUUUUCACAAAAAAAAAAACGAAAUUACUUUCCGAACAAACCUUUAUUUCAAACAGAUUUAGAAUUAUAAAACUUCAGAUAUUCGAAAAAUAAUUAUAAACUACUACUUUACUUUCAUUUGCUAAGCUUUACAUAUAGGCAAAGCAUUUUUUCUUUAUUUUUUAAUAUUCUUAUUCUUAUUUAAGAAAAAUAGACUACUGCGUUAACUACUCUCAGUUUUGUAUUUCUGAAAAGAUGUUGAUAUCAAUAAUUACUUAAUAAAACGUACUUUGAAGAUAAAAUUGAUAAUUAUUUUAAAAAAUCAAGAUCAAUGAAGAGAGCGACUACAGAUUAUAAAGCCUAUAAGUUACCAAAUUGGACUGAAAAAA
Molecule: long non-coding RNA, 1286 nt
Organism: Vespa mandarinia (Asian giant hornet)
Lineage: Eukaryota; Metazoa; Arthropoda; Insecta; Hymenoptera; Vespidae
Source: RefSeq, a predicted model, not a curated record